Molecule: transfer RNA, 76 nt
Filed under: compost metagenome
Description: tRNA-Ala
Rfam family: tRNA
About the family: Transfer RNA (tRNA) molecules are approximately 80 nucleotides in length. Their secondary structure includes four short double-helical elements and three loops (D, anti-codon, and T loops).
Source: RNAcentral
GGGGCCUUAGCUCAGCUGGGAGAGCGCAUCGCUGGCAGCGAUGAGGUCAGGGGUUCGAUCCCCCUUGGCUCCACCA